Molecule: ribosomal RNA, 4237 nt
Filed under: Triticum aestivum (bread wheat)
Lineage: Eukaryota; Viridiplantae; Streptophyta; Magnoliopsida; Poales; Poaceae
Description: partial small subunit ribosomal RNA
Source: RNAcentral
CGGACGUUACGUUUCUUUUGCUUUAAUGUGUCUUCGUGUGUCUAGAGAGGUAGCGCUUCUUGUGACGGAGGACGCAAGAAGUGGGAGACGUUUUAUAGAGCAGGGGAACGCGAGCGAGCCCUUCCGAUCCCAAAGUCCCAAGAGGAGUUAGCCUUAGUCAGACCCUGAGCGGGAAGUUUAAGCGGGCCUCUGCCUCGGGAGGAGGGGGCCGGGUAGGUGCCGCCGGUGGUAAAGACAGGGCAAGAAGAGUUAGCCGUAUAAAGGCGACCAACCAAGCACAGGUCGUAAGACCUAUGGGUUAGGGUUGAUCGUGAGCUACCUCCUAGAGGGCCUCCGUGACGACCGUCUCUAGUAGUUCUCCCAAUGGUUUUCUUCACUGAACUUAAGAGAAAGGGAACAGAGCUUCGCAGAGAAGCGGUAGGUCCGACUCGUUUUUCCCAGGUAGGCCCAACCAACACCGGAAACGGAACGGUGACUUCGAAACCACAGUGAGAAGAGGGCCAAGGGGUUAAACACCUUUCAUCUCUAGCUAAUGCGACCGACCUGUGGAAGGGUGCCCCUAGUCAACCUGUUGGUACUGAAGAAACACUAAUAUAGAACGACAGGGAGAGAUUGGCUAGAGUGUGAUUCAAAGACAAGUGUUUAGCUACUGUGGCCAGAACCAAUAGAUACGAUGUCGCUCUUUAACUGAAGGGAGUCCGACUUGAGACGUUGACUUUAUUGAAGAUCACCUGAAGAGAGCCAGCGUCAACCAACGUUCUCAGACAGAAGGGAGGUGGAAUAUUUGACACUCUUUCAUCCGUCAUGGCUCACCGACCUCAUAGAUCCGAACUUACCUAGCAACCUUCUUGAACAUGAGUCCUUAACGUUACCUUAGUCGGACAUACUGGAGUAUUACGAGCCAGGUCCUACCUACUUCGAUGCAUUCAAACUUAAAGCUUACCCUCCUAAUACCCUACAAGUACUCCCUAUACUAGUAUACCUUUAGCUACCAAUCAGUACUUCGACUGUUAACUACAAAGUACGACGGUACUAACAACAAACCGAACACUCGUCAAUUAAACCCCUUUUAACGGUCCCUCUUCUUACUCUAAAGCUCCCAGAAGAUCAACUAAUAAAAAUCCCUUUUGAAACAAAAACGGUGAGAUCGAAAACGGGUGAAACGAAUACGGUGAGAUCUUAAACUGUAAAGUGAAAACGGUGAGAAUCGAAAGCUGUUAUGUAGUGAAAACGGUAAGACACCGUUUUCGUUUUAAGAGUUUCACCGUUAACACUAUGUAGCGUUUUCGAUUCUCACCGUUUUCACUUUACUUUUUAAUAGUAAAAACGGUACCUUACCGUAAACACUACAUAACAGUUUUCGAUUCUCACCGUUUUCACUCUACAGUUUAAGAUCUCACCGUAUUCGUUUCACCCGUUUUUGGUCUCACCGUUUUUGUUUCAAAAGGGAAAAAAAAUAAUUCUACAGUACGACAUUAUAGACAGUGGUUCUCUGAAUUGUGUUGUUUAAUAACCUCGAAAGUAGUUAAUUUUGUAGUUGUAGGACCUGGUAAUGUGACCUUUUGUCAUGUCUUUACGGCCGGUACGUCGAACGGCCAUGAAACAGGGAACAAUUAAGUACAAUGAAAAGACCUUGUUUACAUUCUACCGUACCAGACAACAAGACGAUACCACCUUAAGUCCUAGGAUAUAGUCUUCUUAAAUGAUCUCCUGACAACUAGUGAACAAAGGUGUCUAAUAAGGUCUACGUCUUCAUUUGAGUCUUCUCUUUCUACUGUCCUACAAUCGUAGAAGUUUACCAUACCCCACGUGUCGGGACUUUCAUACCUUAAUCAUAUGUGAUCCACCAAAAGCGUACAAUGAACUUCCGAUAGUAGGAAAUACCUCGUCAGAUGAGAGCCUUCCACGAGUGCCAGAAGUAGUCGAUCAACGGGUACCCCAGUCACCACUUUACAUCGACUUCUUUAGAGAGACAUAAGACGUUAACCUACUUUAAACCCGUCGGUACACCCAGAGUCUUCCGUUUUGUUUUUCGAUAACUCUACUACGAACUAUUCAAUAACGUUUGAAAGUGACACCAAACGUCGACAAUACGUCAUAUCUGUUAUAUUUUUAUAGGUGACCCCUUUUAUAUUAGACGAAUGAAUCACAUUUGAUUUAAUUAACGAUUAACGAGAUAACGACAUGAUUAAGGAUCAAGUUUAACCUAGAAGUAGGACUGUCCUUUAAAGUCUCACAAAAAAAAUUUGUUACAAUCUCACAAAAUAACAUAAACGGGUAGUAAAGACAUACAGUAUUAUUUACUUCAACGGGUUUACUCUCCAACUAAAAUACUCUAGGUAAAAGAAGGAACUACCUAUUCUCUUCCUUAAGUUUAGGUACUUACUUCAUGUAUUAAACGGUCUAGGUAAAAAAGAUAGCUACGUUGAUGUCUCCAGAAUGUAAGAACAUGAGGAAUACACCGAGUAAUAACGUAUAGAUAGAUGAUUAAGUGAUUCGAGGGACCCAUCUUUCGGGGUCCUCGCUAAGCCGCCACUUAAACCGACCAGCGCAGCUAAAACUGAACCAGCAUCUCUCGACCAGCACACACCCGGAAAACCCAGUUGCAUAUCAUACCCGACCCGAAAGAAACUCAACCCUACCCCCCCAAAGAGAAGACCAACCACGAAAAGACGCCGCACCGCCGACCCUCGCCCAGCGGCCCGUGCACAACAAGCUGGCACCCUCGCCCCGACACAUACCUUUCCUUUAGCCGACGACAACCCUUCCCUAAACGAAGCGGCAGCGACCGAGACCCCAAACGACGCCGAAGUCACGGCCGCACAGUGUGACCACAGGAGUACACACAAACACCUCUCUUCCCUGUGCUAAACCCCGCCAACCACAAGCACACUCUCCUCCGCUAAACCACGAUCGGAUAGUCGAGAACCCGUACCAACGGAAGACACCGACGUGAACCCCCUCCAGAUCCAGUCGGCGACGAGGCCGGCCACGCACGAACAACCAAGCAGUGCGGCCGACCGUCCGGACCACUCAUAAGGAGGGCAAGGGGGAGAGGAGAAAAACCACACGCCGCUGUCCUUACCUCCCGGUGCCAGGUGCUCUGCGGGUAUAGGGGUAACUCUUUGUCGCCGUACCACUCGAGCUCCUCUGGCCACGGCUGCGUCAAGGUCACUGGCUAGAAAAAGCUAUAGUGCUCCCUAGGAUAGCCGUACUAGACGAUUAAAAACCCAGGAAAAAUAACAAAAAUAACCGGUAACGCCGGAUCUUAGUCAGGAAGUAUACUUCAAACGAAUGUAAAGAAACAGAGAUCCCGUAUUAUUUGCAACACUGAGUUUCUAUUGUAGUAGCAAUGCCCAAAAUUAGUAAGUCAAAUGAUUGUAUUUACACUAGCUAACAACAAGAACUUUGAAUUAGCGGCCUUACCUAGGAUUAAUUAGUUGUCCUCGGUACGAACCUAAACCUACCUGUAGCCUUACAACGUCAUACGCUUAACUUAUAGACGUUCACAGUGUAAACAUACAAGUACCAAGAUGUCUAAUACUAGAAUAUAUUAAUAAUCACAAUCCAGACGAAUAUAUACUUUUUUAUACAUACACAUUAUCUGACAUAUCUGAGUCUAAUUAAAAUAAACGAAAUACAACAUUAACUGUCAUGUCUGAGCCCGACGAGACUAAACAUACAACCUGACAGUCUUAACGAUGUUUUAUUGAUAGAUCGGAUCGCCAUUGAAAAACCCUUUAGGAGUAAUGAGACUUACUGUUGGAACACAAAUCAAUUUCUUUUUAUACUAUGUAAACUAGAACAACGAGGUGGGUAGGCCCGGACACUAACAGCAAAGUAGCACUUCACCAAGUCACAUCUUUUAUUUACACUAACGUUCAGGUCGUUCACUAGAAUUUGUACGAGAGUAAGGAUUGGGAGAGUAAGCUUCGUACUACCGUGGUGGACUUUUUUUUUCUUUGUACCAUCGUGUCUCUUAACCAAACGGGAUGGUGGUGGUCUCUUGGUUUUCCUUCUUUGAAACGCAGUAUCAUUAUUUAACAGACAUAAAUAACUGGGAUAAGAAAUAAGUAAUUUAACACACCUGUACUGUACAUUUUGUCUCAAACAUAUCACCGAACUUAAAUAGACUUUAACCAAGUAAAAUGACCAAUGGGAAUUACUACACAGAUACGUUCUUAUACAAAUCGACGUACCACCUUUUGAAACACAUGACACCUUCCAACGUAAGUUC